RNAcentral lists this ribosomal RNA (548 nucleotides) under uncultured Glomus. Its description in RNAcentral is "SSU rRNA". It matches the Rfam family "Eukaryotic small subunit ribosomal RNA", at positions 548 to 1098 of the family's 1831-position model. Lineage: Eukaryota; Fungi; Glomeromycota; Glomeromycetes; Glomerales; Glomeraceae. The record is from RNAcentral.
UUGGAGGGCAAGUCUGGUGCCAGCAGCCGCGGUAAUUCCAGCUCCAAUAGCGUAUAUUAAAGUUGUUGCAGUUAAAAAGCUCGUAGUUGAAUUUCGGGAUUAGUACGUCGGUCGUGCCUUAGGUACGUACUGGUGUUACUGGUUCCUACCUUCUGACGAACCAUCAUGUCAUUAAUUUGGUGUGGUGGGGAAUCAGGACUGUUACUUUGAAAAAAUUAGAGUGUUUAAAGCAGGCUCGCGCUUGAAUACAUUAGCAUGGAAUAAUGAAAUAGGACGUUGAUCCUAUUUUGUUGGUUUCUAGGAUUGACGUAAUGAUUAAUAGGGAUAGUUGGGGGCAUUAGUAUUCAAUUGUCAGAGGUGAAAUUCUUGGAUUUAUUGAAGACUAACUACUGCGAAAGCAUUUGCCAAGGAUGUUCUCAUUAAUCAAGAACGAAAGUUAGGAGAUCGAAGACGAUCAGAUACCGUCGUAGUCUUAACCAUAAACUAUGCCGAUUAGGGACCGGAUGAUGUUAAUUUUUUAAUGACUCAUUCGGCACCUUACGGGAAAC